CGGCGCCCGCACCUCCUGCCUCGCUUCAGUUGCCUGAUGCGCACCCCCUCCCCGAGCGUAGCACCGCCUCCCCGCCAUUGCCGCCGCCCUUGCCUCUCCAUUUUCUCCUCCUUCGUUCCCGUGCGGCCUCCCGCCUCGCUGCCGCCGCUUGAUGCGGCGCCCGAGCACAGUGCUGCAUCCCUGCCAUGGCCUCCGCCCCCAGCAAGCCUGAGCCUUUAUCUCUGUGCUCCCCUCCCACCUCGCUGCCUUUGUCUGAUGCGAAUCUGGGCUCGAGACUACCAUGGGCGCUGGCCCUCGACCAAGAUGAACGCAGGGCAGUGCGGAUCCCGCGUCAGGAGGGUUGCGGUGGUAGCCUUUGGGGUGAGGAAGGGCGGUGGUG
Molecule: long non-coding RNA, 379 nt
Filed under: Hordeum vulgare
Lineage: Eukaryota; Viridiplantae; Streptophyta; Magnoliopsida; Poales; Poaceae
Description: long non-coding RNA (HVUL_LNC014540)
Source: RNAcentral